This 844-nucleotide long non-coding RNA is filed under the name Apteryx owenii (little spotted kiwi). RNAcentral describes it as "lncRNA (ENSAOWG00000003465.1)". The record is from RNAcentral. Lineage: Eukaryota; Metazoa; Chordata; Aves; Apterygiformes; Apterygidae.
CAUUUUUUUCCUUUGCUCUGCUAGCCACCAUUCUUGCUCCAGAGCUGCCCUGGAAGACGCUGGUCUAGCAACCAAUGUCCAGCGCGUCCUGCCGUACGGAGAGAACUUGAGUUUUCCUGGGACACUUAAAACACAGAAGAGCUAAGCCAAAAAUUAGAUGCCAAAGCAAGAGAGCAUGAAACAAGCAUCAUGUCCAAAAUCAAGUAGGAAAGCUUAUUAUAUAAACUAGAAAAGUUUAUUAUUAUUAUUAUUAUUAUUGUUAUUAUUACUCUUGCUAUUAUUAUUAUUUGGAUGGAGACUUUUCUUUCUCUGUGGUUAUAAAACGUGCGCUCCAACCAGCGGUGCCGCCGGCCCGGCCGGAGGGCGCUGGGCCCGGAGGUGUCGCUGGGAGAGGUUGCCCCGGCCUGGCCGGAUUCGCCCGCGGCAGGAGGGCAUCGACGUGGACGUGCGCGACGUUGCGGAGAAGAGGGGACUCGGGCAGCGAGCUGACGCCGUCCCAGCGGGACAGGGACGUCGAUGGGCGCUUUGUGGAAAUGCUGGAUUCUCUCCAAGUGGAAACAUCAAAUAUUUAAGGGAACCUGCUGAACGGAUGAAAACCUUCAGCUAUAGACCUGGACUGUCCGGUGGGCACCGAGCGCCACUCCAGGUCUUUUGGGAGCUGCCUUCCCACAGGGGAAAUAUUUUCCAAGCAGGCAGAGGGCUGCGAGGAGCCCCACAGCCUAAUUUUGGUGACCGGUCGCACAAUAGUCAUUUUGUCAGGGAAAAGUAAAUCUCCUGGUAAGUGGAGAUUGGAGCGAUGAGAGCUAUAGUAAAUAGGGAUGAAUUCAAGGGUGACUUUGGCCAA